Molecule: ribosomal RNA, 562 nt
Filed under: Nakaseomyces glabratus
Lineage: Eukaryota; Fungi; Ascomycota; Saccharomycetes; Saccharomycetales; Saccharomycetaceae
Description: eukaryotic LSU rRNA
Rfam family: Eukaryotic large subunit ribosomal RNA
Source: RNAcentral
CGAGUGAAGCGGCAAAAGCUCAAAUUUGAAAUCUGGUACCUUUGGUGCCCGAGUUGUAAUUUGGAGAGUACCACUUUGGGACUGUACUUUGCCUAUGUUCCUUGGAACAGGACGUCAUGGAGGGUGAGAAUCCCGUGUGGCGAGGGUGUCAGUUCUUUGUAAAGGGUGCUCGAAGAGUCGAGUUGUUUGGGAAUGCAGCUCUAAGUGGGUGGUAAAUUCCAUCUAAAGCUAAAUACAGGCGAGAGACCGAUAGCGAACAAGUACAGUGAUGGAAAGAUGAAAAGAACUUUGAAAAGAGAGUGAAAAAGUACGUGAAAUUGUUGAAAGGGAAGGGCAUUUGAUCAGACAUGGUGUUUUGCGCCCCUUGCCUCUCGUGGGCUUGGGACUCUCGCAGCUCACUGGGCCAGCAUCGGUUUUGGCGGCCGGAAAAAACCUAGGGAAUGUGGCUCUGCGCCUCGGUGUAGAGUGUUAUAGCCCUGGGGAAUACGGCCAGCCGGGACCGAGGACUGCGAUACUUGUUAUCUAGGAUGCUGGCAUAAUGGUUAUAUGCCGCCCGUCUUGA